Molecule: ribosomal RNA, 403 nt
Filed under: uncultured Colpodellidae
Lineage: Eukaryota; Colpodellaceae
Description: partial small subunit ribosomal RNA
Rfam family: Eukaryotic small subunit ribosomal RNA
Source: RNAcentral
GCUUGUCUCAAAGAUUAAGCCAUGCAUGUCUAAGUACAAGCCUCAGUAAGGUGAAACCGCGAAUGGCUCAUUAAAUCACACCUAAUCUACUGGAAAGUUACUAGUUACUUGGAUAACUGAGGUAAUUCUUGAGCUAAUACAUGCGUCAAAACCUGACUUCUUGGAAGGGUUGUGUUUAUUAGAUAAAAAACCAAUCCAUGCUCUGCAUGGUAUUGUGGUGACUCAUAAUAACCGAUCGAAUCGCAUGGCGUAAGCCGGCGAUAAAUCAUUCAAGUUUCUGACCUAUCAGCUUCCGACGGUAGGGUAUUGGCCUACCGUGGCUAUGACGGGUAACGGGGAAUUAGGGUUCGAUUCCGGAGAGGGAGCCUGAGAAACGGCUACCACAUCUAAGGAAGGCAGCAGG